CUAUGUAAAUCAGGGUUCGGCCUCCAAAUGCUGCAAUCAUACCAGCACUUUCACGAGGUUAAUGACUGCUGCUAGUAGUGAGAAGGCAUUGACUUGUAUGGUUGUAAUCUUCCUGUGACUUCCCAAGUCUAUAAAGAAUCAGUUGAGGGCUCAUUUGCUGUAAAAAAUAUAUGUCCGAUCAAUACUAGAUAGAUAUGUUGAGAAACUACACCAAGCACUUCUUUUAUAAGGUCUCGAACGUUAAUGCAAAGUGUUAUCAAGGCAUACUUCAAUUUAUCAGAAUGGGAAUUAAUUUGUCUAUGGUAUUGCACAGAAUAAAAGAUGAAUUUAACCUAAAGGAAAGUGAAUCUAAUUCACGGCUCGAAGCAAAUUUCUUAUUAUUCAUCACAAGCUUACAUUCCUCUUGUUUUGCAACAACAAAGACUAAUGUCACUAGUAUUUUGCUUCAUAUAUAAAUGGUCCUCUUGUUUUUUUUUGAACCCAAACACAAUAACGUGACUUAGCUUUAUUUCGCGUCUUCAACCCCAUGCCUUCGAGACUUUCGUUUCCAAUUGAGGAAUGUAAUGCACUAAUAAUAAUUCUUCUCAUCAUAUCAUGCUGUCAGAAAUGAAUGGAUCCACGGCCUAGUUUCUGCUCAUUUGUAGCAUAUGUCAUUUCCUGGAUGGCCAGUAUAAAUGCGACGUCAGUAUAAUUUGAUUAAAAGGACUCUUCCUAUCAAUCAGAAAAACUCAAGAAUCAUCGCUGCUCCCCUAUUAUUGAGCGAGCUUGAUCAUUGGAAAUUGUGCAUGUACCUGGCUAACGCGCCAUGACUUUGCUUAGGCUGAGGAUUCACACAAACGAAAAUUACAACUACGUAAAAGAAGAGUCCAUCAUAUUAGUUGUAGUACUUUGUACUCUAUAGUACUCUGUAUGGAUUAGUAUAUUCUUUCACAGUAGGAAGGAUUGUGAAAACGAAAUGGAUGAAAGUGUGGCGGCAGGGCUUUACUCAAUGGAAUGUUGGGAACAAGAAACCGCGUCGAGAGCCCAAAUCCUCAUUAAAUUGGAACCGCCAGAUUAUUAGACCUAGUACGAGUACGAGUAGUACUAAAAUAUAAUAUAUAAUCUUCCCGCCAAAGCCAAGCAUCCUUUGGCGGUAAAGAGACCAACCUUCCGUUUCCCUUAUGGACGCCUUGUACAAUACUCACGUUAAGCUCUUGGCCUUCGACUUCCUGAAACUGACGCCGUCACCGACAGACCCCUCUUCCUUCUUCCGCAGAGGCAAGCGCCUCUCGCGCGCGGAGACUGUAGGAAUCGUGGUAACCCGAGAUCUCAAGCCGGGAAAGUUCGUCAAAUUCACGAUUGACGAUGGCUCCGGCUGCAUCUCCUGUGUUCUGUGGCUCAAUCAGCUCAACUCCUCUUACUUCUCUCGCCGCAACCCAUCGGAUGUUCGACUAAUUGCCCAAGCGGCCACUGAUUUUGCCUCUGAUCUCCAACUCGGCGUUCUAGCUCGAGUCCGCGGCAGGAUCACAGAUUACAGAGGCGCUCUUCAGAUUUCAGUGUCUGAUGUUGUCGUGGAGAGGGACCCCAACAUGCAGAUUCUGCAUUGGCUAGAUUGUAUGAGGUUGGCGCGCCAGUGCUACGACUAAUAUUGCAACUUAUUUACUUUUAUUAACUCUGCUAUGCAGAUGUAUUUAAUUCAGGGGAGACAAAUGGAUUAUGAGUCGGACACCAUUUGGAAGUCUGGUCAUGCUGUUAGCCCGUAUUUUGGAUAGUGACUGUUCAGCAUCAUGUGCAAGAAUUUGCGGAGUUGAGAGGUAGAGGCGGAGACAUGUGGAUUUGGACCACCAAGUGAAUGUGGAUUUCCAAAACUUUUUAGAUUACCCUGAUUGGUUUCCAGAAUGGACUGAUCAGAAAAUUGAAGGCCUUGGAUUCUUGAAGUUGUGGAGUAAACGUUUGAGUUCAAUAUGUAGAUUAGCAAGACAAAAGUAAUUGUUUACUUGAUUCACCAAAUCAUUGCUCUAGUGAUGCCUAAUGACCAUACUGAACCAGCAGGAGAAUAGACAGUCAUGUUGGGAGUUUUCUUCCAAACCAGUUUUAUGGAGCUGCUGGACUCAUCUGGUACCAAACAAGCACUCCAUCUGAAACAAGAGUUAAGAUUAAUUGGUGCCAGUAGCUUAAGCGUCUGUAGGUGGUUCAGAGCAGGCUACUAUUUAGCGUUUAUCUCAAGUCUGAUUAUGUUUCCAUGGAUAGAACAGGGAAAUAUGUACCAUAACUGUCGGACAGAAAACAUAGCCGUCAUGUUAGACCAAUUUUGUCAUAGUAUUAUAUUCGUAUGUGCACUGGUAGUGAUGCCGGGAUGAUUCUAAGUA
This is a non-coding RNA of Coffea arabica (coffee), 2348 nucleotides long. The record is from RefSeq and is a predicted model, not a curated record. NCBI's taxonomy places the organism in Eukaryota, Viridiplantae, Streptophyta, Magnoliopsida, Gentianales, Rubiaceae.